This 462-nucleotide ribosomal RNA is filed under the name uncultured bacterium. RNAcentral describes it as "partial 16S ribosomal RNA". It matches the Rfam family "Bacterial small subunit ribosomal RNA", at positions 28 to 507 of the family's 1533-position model. The record is from RNAcentral.
GACGAACGCUGGCGGCGUGCUUAACACAUGCAAGUCGAGCGGAAAGGCCCUUCGGGGUACUCGAGCGGCGAACGGGUGUGUAACACGUGAGUAACCUGCCCCAGACUUUGGGAUAACCCUCGGAAACGGGGGCUAAUACCGGAUACGACACAGCUUCGCAUGGGGUCUGUGUGGAAAGUUUUUCGGUUUGGGAUGGGCUCGCGGCCUAUCAGCUUGUUGGUGGGGUGAUGGCCUACCAAGGCGACGACGGGUAGCCGGCCUGAGAGGGCGACCGGCCACACUGGGACUGAGACACGGCCCAGACUCCUACGGGAGGCAGCAGUGGGGAAUAUUGCACAAUGGGCGGAAGCCUGAUGCAGCGACGCCGCGUGAGGGAUGACGGCCUUCGGGUUGUAAACCUCUUUCAGCAGGGACGAAGCGUAAGUGACGGUACCUGCAGAAGAAGCGCCGGCCAACUACGUG